This 397-nucleotide ribosomal RNA is filed under the name uncultured bacterium. Its description in RNAcentral is "partial 16S ribosomal RNA". It matches the Rfam family "Bacterial small subunit ribosomal RNA", at positions 523 to 918 of the family's 1533-position model. The record is from RNAcentral.
AUACGUAGGGGGCGAGCGUUGUCCGGAAUGAUUGGGCGUAAAGGGCGCAUAGGCGGCCCGGUAAGUCUGGAGUGAAAGUCCUGUUUUUAAGAUGGGAAUUGCUUUGGAUACUGUCGGGCUUGAGUGCAGGAGAGGUAAGUGGAAUUCCCAGUGUAGCGGUGAAAUGCGUAGAGAUUGGGAGGAACACCAGUGGCGAAGGCGACUUACUGGACUGUAACUGACGCUGAGGCGCGAAAGUGUGGGGAGCAAACAGGAUUAGAUACCCUGGUAGUCCACACUGUAAACGAUGAAUGCUAGGUGUAGGGGGUAUCGACCCCUUCUGUGCCGCAGUCAACACAAUAAGCAUUCCGCCUGGGGAGUACGGCCGCAAGGUUGAAACUCAAAUGAAUUGACGGGG